GAAGUGGGCAGCCCAGCUGUCGACGAAUCCAUGCAUCCAGGGGCUUUAUAGAUUCUUCCUCCUUCAGACGGCUACAAGGACUUUGUUAAUCGUAAAGGAUGGCCAUCCUACAUACUCCAGGCUGUUGUUGACGACCAAUUCUGUUUUUGGAACAUCAGCUGUAAAAUGCCAGGCAGCGCACAUGAUGCAAAUGCCCUUUGGCAUUCUGAUCUUUUCCAAAGGGCUCAUCUCUUACCCAAGGGAAUCAAGACCAUUUUGGAUAAAGACACCAAUUUCCUGAUUGUAGGAGACCCUGCUUACCCACUUCUUGACUGGCUGAUCAAGGGAUACUCAAACUCCCCACUGCUGACUCCUGAGCAGGAAUCUUUCAACAGCUACCUAAUCUCAGUCAGGGUGGGAGUGGAGAUGACUUUUGGUUUGUUAAAGUCAAGGUGGAGGGUUCUGCUGAAGAGAAGUGACUUAUAUUUCACAUUUAUAUUUCGCAUUUCACUUUCAUGCCAACCAUGAUUGCCACCUGCUGUGCACUGCACAACUUCUGUCAGAAGGAACGGGAGCAUGCCAGCAGCAGCUGGUUGGAAGGGGCCCGUGAUCGGACAGUUCAUUUUCCACAGCCCAACCAGCCAGUUAACCCACAGUGCAGUAGUGGUGGCAGCAGCACAAGAGAGGCUUUGACUACCUAUAUGGCCGCUGCAGUCCCACUCCGGACAAGGCACCAACACUAAAUCUUUCUGGCUUUUUUAUUCACUAAAAAAAAUGUCAACCUUACCAGUGAUGAAAGUCAGGCAAGGAAAAAAUCCCUGAACUUUUCUUUGAGCGAUAUGGCGGGC
Molecule: long non-coding RNA, 827 nt
Organism: Oryzias latipes (Japanese medaka)
Lineage: Eukaryota; Metazoa; Chordata; Actinopteri; Beloniformes; Adrianichthyidae
Source: RefSeq, a predicted model, not a curated record